RNAcentral lists this long non-coding RNA (3191 nucleotides) under Capsicum annuum. RNAcentral's name for it is "long non-coding RNA (CANN_LNC008047)". The record is from RNAcentral. Lineage: Eukaryota; Viridiplantae; Streptophyta; Magnoliopsida; Solanales; Solanaceae.
UCAUCUCUCUCCGUCAAUCAGUCUUUGCCACUCUUAGACUUUUUUUUUAAUUCUCGGUGCCAAUUAUAGGUCUUUGUCUCGCUAACAGAAGGACGUACGUCCAUUUUUGGGAGAAAUUUUGACUAAAAAGGUUGCGUGAAGAGGAGUUUGAAUGUGACUCGUCCCUGUCUCUUUUUGCUGAAUCUGCUUUUGUCAUAUCAAAGCUCAGCGUUUGGAUUUGGGCACAAGAGUUUCAAAGUUUGAAAUUCAAAAUCCCGCCCAAAAUUCAAAAUCCCUAAUUCCUUUCCUAUAAAUACAACAUUUGGAACUCAUUUGGGACAAGCUUUCUCUUCCGCCUCUACACUAUUAAAUAUUAAUUUUACCUUAAACAUUUGUUUCUUACAUUCUCAAUUAGUCUCGUGCGUUUUGAGCUCAUUGACCUUUAGUUUAGUGAGUAGAUCCGGAUACAAAGCCUUAGUUCACUGCCGCGCAACAGGUGAUAUUUGAUUUCCUUUAUUUUAUUUAAUUAUUUAUUUUUUCUUAUUCUUUCCGUCUUUGUCAUAAUAAUGUUAUGCCUAUUUUAAAGAAAGUAUUACGCUAGGGGUAGUUUUGCUUAAAUUUGUGUUUAAAUGUUUACUGUGUUUUUUUUUUUUUGGUGUUAAAUCAUGAAUUAGUGUUCUCAUCAGUUAUUUAAAAGCAUGACUCUUUUAGUUUUGUUCUUUAGUUUGAUUCCCUGUAACGCAUUUUAUUAGGAGUUUAACUAGCUAUGCUUAAUUGAUUAGAUUUCUGCGUUAGUUUGAAGCAUCGAGUUAGCCCUCAAGAAUGUAAAGAAUGACUUAUAUUUUCGGAAUAGAUACUCGCACAAAACCAGUUUUUUUUAUACUUACAUGAAAUUAGUUUCUCGUUUCCAGUUAGUUACACUAUUAUAUGGUGAAAAAGGAUAUAGUCAAUAAAUAAGCUUUCUCUAUAAAAAGAUGACUGGAGCACAUUGUCACUUCUGCUUAGUUUAAAAGUAUUAGGCAACCCAUUUGCAUCUUCAUUUCACAUCAUUAUGCGCACACAUAUCUUUGUUUAGGUCAUGGUGUAUACUCUCUUGGCAAGGAUACAUACAUAAGUUAACUUUUUAAAGGAGAUAGCAUGUGUGAUACCUUAAGGGAUUAUUUUUAAAAUUUCAUACUUACCUUAAAGUAGUAGUCCCAUUGUAGCUUAAAGAUUAUGAUCUAGCUGUUUUAACUUGGUUCAAGAGUCCUCAAUUGGAAAUGGAUGUAUAUGAACUUUCUUUUCUUCCAUUAGAAUUUGCAUGAACUUGGACAUGUCUAAAGGUUCCAUAAAGGCAACGAUCUAUUAAGUUUUGUAAUAAGUAAGUAUGUCUUCCGUUAACUGUUGAUUGGCACAAAGUGAAUCCUCAGUCCUGAUUGUCCGAAAUCAUAUGUUAUAAAUUGCGUCAUAAUAAUUAUGUGGCUGCUUUUAUCUCGUUUUCCCUUUGUCUUUGUUACUUUGCUUAGUUUCCUUAUAUAAGAUGUAUGUAUAAACAAUUGACAUGGUCUUAGGAGCCUAAUUUGGUAACCAUAGUGCUUGUUGCUUAUUAUUUGGGUUGGUUUUACCCUACUUGCUGGACAUGUAUUUUCAGAAUCACAUUUUUCAGUUUGAUCACUCUUUAGUAACGUUUGCCAUCCUUGUUUCGCUCACAGAUUUUGCUCAUCAUGUCUUAGAAAUUUGAAUGUCUAAAAUGAGUGCAACGUUAAGAUGACAACGUGUUUUGAGCUACAAUUGAAUUUACUAAAAGUUUUCAUGGCUUUCCAAUGUGCAUUCGGAAUCAGCCGAGUUUGUUAACAAAAUAGAAAUUAGCAUGAGUAGAUAUAAUGUUCUUACUUUAUCGAUAUAUGGCAUUAUAUAUGAUCUUUUCAUCUUAAGAUUUAAUGUAGCUUUCGUUCGUGCCAUACAUACAUUGGUGUAAGUUUCAAAUUAGUUAUGUUACGACUAUGUCUCAUAAAGUUUGGUACCUUACUAAAAUAUAAUGGCAGGGUGUAGUUUGCUAAAGAAAUGUGUGUUUUCAUAUCCAUUUUUGCUUUCUUAUGAUUAAAUAUACACUAGUUUAGGAUUAUCUCCUCAAUAAUGGUUUGACUGUACCAACAAAUCAUAUGUCAAUCUUAUUAAUACAUCUUAUAUUAGUUGAUAUUCACAACUUUAGGAACUGUCUUUUAAUCAUAAAAACCUGCUACAUAUUUGAUUUCUCCACAAUUGUUACUUCCUUCUAUAAUUGGAAUGAGGAGAAUUUGCAUACCUGUGAAGCUAUAUUAGUUCACUGUCACAUUUUUGGGGAUUACUGUUGUACGUUAAUAGGGUAGUAUGCACUCCUAGAUACUACAUAGAGACAUGUUUGAACUCCUAAACUUUUUUUGGAUUAGUUCAAAAUGUGUGUUUAAAUUGCUAUACACUAUUUGCAAAAUAUGUCUUUGUUUUAGAAUUGAUUGCUAACUAUUUUCAAUUAUUCUUUUCUUACAUGUACACCUAGGGAGCAAAAUGGAGUCUUUCAUAUAGACUCACUGCCUCAAAAGGGACAUUUCGAGGACUCGGAACAUGCAUAUCAUCUCUCACUUAAUAUCUCUCGCCCCUCCAAAAGUCGUCUGAAACGAAAGCAAAGAGAAAUUCUAGAGUUUCCAUUAACUUCGCUCUUAUCCCCCCUCCCGAAAAUGUCUGAACGAAGCAAAAGAAAGGGAGAGAAGGGAGGAGUUGCUACUACAUUUUUUUCUCUUAUUUUAUGCUCAAUAUUCAUUUUUAUGUCCUUAUAUGUGACUAUUUGUUUGAUUUGUUUAACUAACAUUAGAAUUCUGAAAUACGUAGAGGGGACGGAGUAGUUUCCUUUUUUCAUUCGAACUAGUAUUAAAGAAAAAAAAAUCUUUUCCGCACAAAUUUUUGUUUAGUUGAUUUUAGGCAUUGUCCAAUUUAGAAUUUUAUUUUUAUUUAUUUAUUUAUUUAUUUUAUAGCUCCAAAAAUGUCCAAAUUUAAGAUGUGUAUUUUUAUUUGUAUUUUUAAAAAAAAUAUAAAAAACUGAAUAUUUUCUUUAUAAGGUUGCUAAUACAUUAUUUGUAAAACAGAAUCAAAUUUUUUAAAAUAUUGGAAUUUAGAAGAAUUUGGUUUAAUGUGGUAAAACAUCCGAAUCUAAAAAAUGAAGUUAAAAUCUUUUGAACUAUCUUUGGCAUUUUUCCUAA